Molecule: ribosomal RNA, 444 nt
Filed under: Paenibacillus barcinonensis
Lineage: Bacteria; Bacillati; Bacillota; Bacilli; Caryophanales; Paenibacillaceae
Description: bacterial SSU rRNA
Rfam family: Bacterial small subunit ribosomal RNA
Source: RNAcentral
UGCGGCGCAUUAGCUAGUUGGUGAGGUAACGGCUCACCAAGGCGACGAUGCGUAGCCGACCUGAGAGGGUGAUCGGCCACACUGGGACUGAGACACGGCCCAGACUCCUACGGGAGGCAGCAGUAGGGAAUCUUCCGCAAUGGGCGAAAGCCUGACGGAGCAAUGCCGCGUGAGUGAUGAAGGUUUUCGGAUCGUAAAGCUCUGUUGCCAGGGAAGAACGCUUGGGAGAGUAACUGCUCUCAAGGUGACGGUACCUGAGAAGAAAGCCCCGGCUAACUACGUGCCAGCAGCCGCGGUAAUACGUAGGGGGCAAGCGUUGUCCGGAAUUAUUGGGCGUAAAGCGCGCGCAGGCGGUCAUGUAAGUCUGGUGUUUAAUCCCGGGGCUCAACCCCGGAUCGCACUGGAAACUGCGUGACUUGAGUGCAGAAGAGGAGAGUGGAAUUC